This 492-nucleotide ribosomal RNA is filed under the name uncultured bacterium. RNAcentral describes it as "partial 16S ribosomal RNA". It matches the Rfam family "Bacterial small subunit ribosomal RNA", at positions 29 to 507 of the family's 1533-position model. The record is from RNAcentral.
AUUGAACGCUGGCGGCAUGCUUUACACAUGCAAGUCGAACGGUAACAGGCUUUCGGGUGCUUACGAGUGGCGAACGGGGGAGUAAUGCAUCGGAACGUACCCAGAGGUGCGGGAUAAUGCGGCGAAAGCUGUGCUAAUACCGCAUGAGACCUGAGGAUGAAAGCGGGGGACCGCGCAGGAAUUUUUGGCCUUGCGCGUUUGGAGGGGCCGAUGUCGGAUUAGCUAGUUGGUGGGGUAAAGGCCCACCAAGGCGACGAUCCGUAGCUGGUCUGAGAGGACGACCAGCCACACUGGGACUGAGACACGGCCCAGACUCCUACGGGAGGCAGCAGUGGGGAAUUUUGGACAAUGGGCGCAAGCCUGAUCCAGCCAUGCCGCGUGCGGGAAGAAGGCCUUCGGGUUGUAAAGCGCUUUUGGCGGGAAAGAAACGGUGUCCGCUAAUACCGGGCGCUAAUGACGGUACCUACAGAAUAAGCACCGGCUAACUACGUG